Molecule: ribosomal RNA, 786 nt
Filed under: Triticum aestivum (bread wheat)
Lineage: Eukaryota; Viridiplantae; Streptophyta; Magnoliopsida; Poales; Poaceae
Description: partial small subunit ribosomal RNA
Source: RNAcentral
AUGAAACUCUUAGCUUGGAACUGCCGGGGACUAGGGAAUGAACCGGCAGUUCGAGCUUUGCUGGACGUCCAGCGAAGCGUACUUCCCUAUGUGUAGUUUUUGUCGGAGACUCACCUAGAUAGCUAUCCGGCUGAAUGCUUAAGACGUAGAUUAAAAAUGGAUCGGAAGAUGAUUUGUGCAAGUGAUGGUAGAAGGGGAGGUCUGAUCCUGUUUUGGCAGAACAAUAUAACAGUACAACGACUCAAUCUGGACCCCAUGUUCAUUGAUGUUCAAAUAACAUGUGAUGCAAAGACAUGGAGAUUAACUGGUAUGUAUGGAGAGUUUAAAUGGGAGCAUAAGCACCUGACCUGGGGGCGUAUGCGGCAGCUGUACCAAAACAACACACUUCCUUGGCUGUUGAUAGGGGAUCUAAAUGAGACCCAAUAUUUGCAUGAGAAGGUAGGAGGAAACCCAAGGCCGCAACAGUACAUGACAGCUUUCCAACAAGCAAUGGAAGAUUGUGAGCUACAGGACAUGGGGUAUAUAGGCGACAUAUUUACUUGGAGAAGGGGCCGUAUUCAAGAAAGACUGGACAGAGGGUUAGUGAAUGAUGAGUGGAGAAAUACCUUUCCUAAUGCUGCCAUAGAGCAUGGCAAUUUUAACCACUCAGACCACAGGCCUUUAGUGGUGGAUACAGAAUAUUAUCUGAGAUCGAUCCCUAACCAGGGAGGACCGAAGAGAUUUGAAGCCGGUGGCUUAGAGAGGAUCAAUUUUCAGAGUUGGUACGAACCUCAUGGGAUAUUGUGA